AACCAACUUUAAAUAAAUAAAUGCUAUUGAAUCUUCAAUCCAAACCAGACUAAAGCCUGAAACCAGACAAACGUCUAAAGUCUGAAACCAGACAAACGUCUAAAGUCUGGUUGGUAGAACCAACUUUUGGGGAAGUAGUUUUUGGGACUAUAUUUGCCUGCGCACCCACAGAGAGAGCAUGGCAUUGAAAUGUCUGUAGAGAGUUCGGUUGGUUCUCUCAUUUAUUCCUGGAAAAGGAUACUAUGAUUACAGCUUCUGAUCACUCAAAGACGCAACUGGUUAUCAACCUAUACCUACUGCCCCACACUGAUCUAUCAAGUCACAUUCAAGAAACUAUACCAUAUUAUUCCAUCACUGGUCUAUCAAACCAUCUCAAAGAAAAUAAAGAAUCAAGAAGUGAAAAGA
This is a long non-coding RNA of Micropterus salmoides (largemouth bass), 405 nucleotides long. RefSeq lists it as uncharacterized. The record is from RefSeq and is a predicted model, not a curated record. NCBI's taxonomy places the organism in Eukaryota, Metazoa, Chordata, Actinopteri, Centrarchiformes, Centrarchidae. The transcript has 2 exons.